CCUACGGGAGGCUGCAGUAAGGAAUAUUGGACAAUGGCGGAGACGCUGAUCCAGCUAUCCCGCGUGCAGGAUGAAGGACCUCUGGUUUGUAAACUGCUUUAGACUGGGGCGAAAAAGUGGGAUUUAUCCUACAUUGACGGUACCAGUAAAAUAAGCACCGGCUAACUCCGUGCCAGCAGCCGCGGUAAUACGGAGGGUGCAGGCGUUAUCGGGAAUAAAGGGGGAUAAAGGGUGCGGCGAAGUCAGGCGUGAAAGGCCACGGCUUAACCGUGGGAUUGCUUUUGAUACUGGCGAGCUUGGAUUAGGACGAGGUUGGCGGAAUGUGGCAAGUAGCGGUGAAAUGCAUAGAUAUGCCAUAGAAUACCGAUUGCGAAGGCAGCUGACUAGACCUAUAUUGACGCUGAGGCACGAAAGCGUGGGGAGCGAACAGGAUUAGAUACCCCAGUAGUC
RNAcentral lists this ribosomal RNA (450 nucleotides) under uncultured bacterium. RNAcentral describes it as "partial 16S ribosomal RNA". It matches the Rfam family "Bacterial small subunit ribosomal RNA", at positions 338 to 795 of the family's 1533-position model. The record is from RNAcentral.